Molecule: ribosomal RNA, 777 nt
Filed under: uncultured Neocallimastigales
Lineage: Eukaryota; Fungi; Neocallimastigomycota; Neocallimastigomycetes; Neocallimastigales
Description: partial large subunit ribosomal RNA
Rfam family: Eukaryotic large subunit ribosomal RNA
Source: RNAcentral
AGAGAGAGACAUGCGCGCAUAUCAAUAAGCGGAGGAAAAGAAACUAACUAGGAUUCCCUUAGUAACGGCGAGUGAAGCGGGAAGAGCUCAAAUUUGAAAUCUUCAAGGUUUUACCUUGACGAAUUGUAGUUUAAAGAAGUGUUUUCUGCUGAAGUUUUGGUAAAAGUUCUUUGGAAUAGGACAUCAUAGAGGGUGAGAAUCCCGUAUUUGACCAUUAUUUUCAGCUUUGUGAUACACUUUCAAAGAGUCGGAUUGUUUGGGAAUGCAGUCCAAAAUGGGUGGUAAAUUUCAUCUAAAGCUAAAUAUUGGCGAGAGACCGAUAGCGAAACAAGUACCGUGAGGGAAAGAUGAAAAGAACUUUGAAAAGAGAGUUAAACAGUACGUGAAAUUGUCAAAAGGGAAGCGUUUGACACCAGUGUUGUUUUCUCGAAAAAUCAAUUAAAAAUGGCUCGAUUUUGUAUUGUUGAGACCUUAAAAGCUCACUGUACAUUUUUCGUGUCUUUUUUAAUGCACUUUUCGUUUAACAAGUCAACAUCAGUUUCUUUUGUUGUAAAAGGGUCAUUGGAAGGUGGCUUUCUUUUCGGAGAAAGUGUUUAUAGCCUUUGGCCUCUGCAAUCGGAAGAGACUGAGGUCUGCAGCGUAGACUCUUCGGGGUUAGAUACAUUUGUGCUAAGUUAUAGCUUUUUAUAGACAACUUGUUGACUAUAAUUAGUCUUGUAGCUUACUCGCUUAUGCUAUUUUACCUACGCUUAGGAUGUUGAAGUCAUCGUAUCGCGC